Molecule: long non-coding RNA, 695 nt
Organism: Astyanax mexicanus (Mexican tetra)
Lineage: Eukaryota; Metazoa; Chordata; Actinopteri; Characiformes; Acestrorhamphidae
Exons: 3
Source: RefSeq, a predicted model, not a curated record
GAGGAUGGAGUCGUCCCCACCUGACGUUAUAUAUGCUGGUGUGAAGUUCAGGCAAAGACCAGAAACUCCAGAUGUUGCAUCACCUGUCUGUGAGCUUCCCCAGAAUUCUAAUGACGCUCCAGAUGAAGAGAAGGAAGUCCUCUACUCAUCUGUAAAGUUUCGUUAAAUUAAUUUUAAUCUGCACUGCACUGUUGUUGGUAUGGUAUAAUUGUACAGUACGGGUUGGUGUGUGUUUUUAGCCCAGUUGGGGAAUUUAGUAGAAACACACAGUGACCACUGCUGUCUGCUAUAGAUACCAUAAAGCAGAAGUUGGGAAAUUUUGGUUUAUUACAAAAAGAAGAAGAGAAUAAUAAAGACCCACAUAUUGUGACAUUUUCGCACACACAGUACAGCAACUAUAAAUACAUACAUUAGUGUUGUCAAGCAAUCAGAUUCAUUACUGUAAAAGUAUUUUAAACUGUGCAAUUUAAAUGUAUUUUAGCAGAGGAGUAAAUUAAUUAAUGAAUAACUGGCAAAAACUCUUUAUAUUACAUCCAGAAGAUAUUAUUCAUCUUUAGGCCAAAAUUAUAACCCGAAUGAAACAAAAUAAUAACAGCUCAAAACUACUUAUUUUAACAUUGUAUGUUACAAAGUAAAAUCAGGCAACCAAUUGUACCUUAUUUAGCAACAUAGUUAAAUAUUAAUUCUAUAGACCA